This 450-nucleotide ribosomal RNA is filed under the name uncultured bacterium. RNAcentral's name for it is "partial 16S ribosomal RNA". It matches the Rfam family "Bacterial small subunit ribosomal RNA", at positions 354 to 796 of the family's 1533-position model. The record is from RNAcentral.
GUGGGGAAUAUUGGACAAUGGGCGAAAGCCUGAUCCAGCCAUGCCGCGUGUGUGAAGAAGGUCUUCGGAUUGUAAAGCACUUUAAGUUGGGAGGAAGGGCAGUAAGUUAAUACCUUGCUGUUUUGACGUUACCGACAGAAUAAGCACCGGCUAACUUCGUGCCAGCAGCCGCGGUAAUACGAAGGGUGCAAGCGUUAAUCGGAAUUACUGGGCGUAAAGCGCGCGUAGGUGGUUUUGUAAGUUGGAGGUGAAAUCCCCGGGCUCAACCUGGGAACUGCCUCCAAAACUGCAUGACUAGAGUACGGUAGAAGGUAGUUGAAUUUGCUGUGUAGCGGUGAAAUGCGUAGAUAUAGGAAGGAACACCAGUGGCGAAGGCGACUACCUGGACUGAUACUGACACUGAGGUGCGAAAGCGUGGGGAGCAAACAGGAUUAGAUACCCGAGUAGUCC